UGAGGAAUUUUGCGCAAUGGGAGAGAUCCUGACGCAGCAACGCCGCGUGAGUGAUGAAGGCCUUCGGGUCGUAAAGCUCUGUCAGGUGGGAAGAACGUCACGCAUGUGAAUAAUGUGUGUGAGUGACGGUACCACCAGAGGAAGCACCGGCUAACUCCGUGCCAGCAGCCGCGGUAAUACGGAGGGUGCGAGCGUUAUUCGGAAUUACUGGGCGUAAAGGGCGUGUAGGCGGCACUACAAGUCUGUUGUGAAAGCCCUGGGCUUAACCUGGGAAGUGCAUUGGAAACUGUAGUGCUUGAGUUCUGGAGAGGAAGGGGGAAUUCCCGGUGUAGAGGUGAAAUUCGUAGAGAUCGGGAGGAAUACCAGUGGCGAAGGCGCCCUUCUGGACGGAUACUGACGC
This 400-nucleotide ribosomal RNA is filed under the name uncultured bacterium. RNAcentral's name for it is "bacterial SSU rRNA". It matches the Rfam family "Bacterial small subunit ribosomal RNA", at positions 355 to 746 of the family's 1533-position model. The record is from RNAcentral.